GUGAGGAAUAUUGCGCAAUGGAGGCAACUCUGACGCAGCCAUGCCGCGUGCAGGAAGAAGGCGCUACGCGUUGUAAACUGCUUUUAACCGGGAAGAAACCCCAGGACGUGUCCUGGGUUGACGGUACCGGAGGAAUAAGCACCGGCUAACUUCGUGCCAGCAGCCGCGGUAAUACGAAGGGUGCAAGCGUUAUCCGGAUUCAUUGGGUUUAAAGGGUGCGUAGGCGGAGCGUUAAGUCAGUGGUGAAAUCCUGCAGCUUAACUGUAGGCUUGCCAUUGAUACUGGCGCUCUUGAGUGCGCUUGAAGUGGGCGGAAUGUGCCGUGUAGCGGUGAAAUGCUUAGAUAUGGCACAGAACACCAAUUGCGAAGGCAGCUCACUAAGGCGAUACUGACGCUGAGGCACGAAAGCGUGGGGAUCGAACAGGAUUAGAAACCCUAGUAGUCC
Molecule: ribosomal RNA, 445 nt
Filed under: uncultured bacterium
Lineage: Bacteria
Description: partial 16S ribosomal RNA
Rfam family: Bacterial small subunit ribosomal RNA
Source: RNAcentral